This 497-nucleotide ribosomal RNA is filed under the name uncultured bacterium. RNAcentral describes it as "partial 16S ribosomal RNA". It matches the Rfam family "Bacterial small subunit ribosomal RNA", at positions 28 to 507 of the family's 1533-position model. The record is from RNAcentral.
GAUGAACGCUGGCGGCGUGCCUAAUACAUGCAAGUCGAGCGAACAGAUGAGGAGCUUGCUCCUCUGACGUUAGCGGCGGACGGGUGAGUAACACGUGGAUAACCUACCUAUAAGACUGGGAUAACUUCGGGAAACCGGAGCUAAUACCGGAUAAUAUAUUGAACCGCAUGGUUCAAUAGUGAAAGACGGUUUUGCUGUCACUUAUAGAUGGAUCCGCGCCGCAUUAGCUAGUUGGUAAGGUAACGGCUUACCAAGGCGACGAUGCGUAGCCGACCUGAGAGGGUGAUCGGCCACCCUGGAACUGAGACACGGUCCAGACUCCUACGGGAGGCAGCAGUAGGGAAUCUUCCGCAAUGGGCGAAAACCUGACGGAGCAACGCCGCGUGAGUGAUGAAGGUCUUCGGAUCGUAAAACUCUGUUAUUAGGGAAGAACAAAUGUGUAAGUAACUAUGCACGUCUUGACGGUACCUAAUCAGAAAGCCACGGCUAACUACGUG